RNAcentral lists this ribosomal RNA (486 nucleotides) under Triticum aestivum (bread wheat). Its description in RNAcentral is "partial small subunit ribosomal RNA". Lineage: Eukaryota; Viridiplantae; Streptophyta; Magnoliopsida; Poales; Poaceae. The record is from RNAcentral.
AUGGGGGUGCGUCCGUGGCGGCUACCCUUCCAUGCCGUCUCCGUCCGCCCCUGCCGCUCCGCGGUCUCCUCCGAAUCCGCAUCCUCCCCGCAGCAGGCGCCGACACCGGUUGGCGGCGACGACGCCAACGGGCCCACCGGCGUGCCCGUGCCCUUCUCCCGUGCCCUCCCAGGCGGCGGCGGCAGUUGGACAAUUCAGGGCGAGACGAUGCUGACCUGGGACGUGACGAUGCUGUGGUGGGACAUGAUGUACACGGAGGAGUUCGUGCCGGCCGAUGAGGGCGCCUACACCAUUGUGGCUGUGGCUUUCGCGUCCCAUGCCCUGUUCGAUUCUCUGCGCUGUGCUGCUCCUCCGGUGCCAUUCGGGGGCCACAACCGCGUGGUGCGUGGCGCCCAGGGGUUGCUAAUGCUCGCAUUUGGAGGGAUUUGCGAGUCGGAUGUAGCGGUUCCACUAUGCCGUGUUGAUUUUAGUUUCGUGGUAGGUUGA